ACAUAUGUAAUUAGAGGGUCAGAGUUUAUUCCUCCUGGGUACAGCGUUUACACCUAUGCUUGGGACUACAACAUGUUGAGACA
Molecule: long non-coding RNA, 83 nt
Organism: Gavialis gangeticus (Gharial)
Lineage: Eukaryota; Metazoa; Chordata; Crocodylia; Gavialidae
Exons: 3
Source: RefSeq, a predicted model, not a curated record